GAGUCCAGCCACUGUCUGGGUACUGCCAGCCAUCGGGCCCAGGUCUCUGGGGUUGUCUUACCGCAGUGAGUACCACGCGGUACUACAGAGACCGGCUGCCCGUGUGCCCGGCAGGUGGAGCCGCCCGCAUCAGCGGCCUCGGGGAAUGGAAGCGGAGAACGCGGGCAGGUAAUACCGGGGCCAGCGCCGCCCCUCCCUUGCGCCCCUCACUGCUGGGCAGGCUGGCUGGCGCGCGCGCGCGCACGCAGGGGUCUUUUAAAUCCCGGCCGGAAUACAAAGGCCGGGGCCGCGCGUGCGCACUGUGGCCUGGUCGGCCUUUCCUUCCCUGGCUGCGGCGGUGGUGGUGGAGGUCGGGGCUGCUCUGAGGGUUACCUGGUGCACCUGGACCCUUCUUUGGUUCCCCGCGAUAACCAGUUGACUAUAAAAUAUAUUAGUAAGCAUUCAGCAGUCUUUGGUUAAUGUGUCUUUCUGGAUGCCAUUCUUGGCUAGAAGGGUUUUCCGUCACCCUCCAUUACCACGCAGAGAGCUGUAAAGAUGAGUGUCGAACAUUUCCAGCUCCAGGAGUUUUCAUUUUAAAGUUGGUUGAUUUGUUGCGGCUUCCCCCCACCCCAAAGGCCUACUGAAAGCAACUUUAAGGGUCACGGGUUAGAUAAUUUUGUUGUGGGCAUAUGUAUACACUCUCGAGUAGUCAAUCUAAAAAUGACCUUUGAGUUUUCCAGUGGCCUUGGGGACGAUCUUAAGAAUCCGUUUUUAAAAAGUCCUUUGGGGGAGUCAAGAGAAAAAUUUGCAAAAGCAGGAGAUUUAGGGACUUGAACUCCUGGCGGAAGACUAAAUUUUUAAAAAAUGGAUAUGGUGACAGUUUUUUAAAAGAUAAAGAGUGAUGAUUUACAUUGAAAUUAAAA
This 902-nucleotide long non-coding RNA is filed under the name Homo sapiens (human). RNAcentral's name for it is "novel transcript". Lineage: Eukaryota; Metazoa; Chordata; Mammalia; Primates; Hominidae. The record is from RNAcentral.